This is a long non-coding RNA of Calypte anna (Anna's hummingbird), 733 nucleotides long. RefSeq lists it as uncharacterized. The transcript has 5 exons. NCBI's taxonomy places the organism in Eukaryota, Metazoa, Chordata, Aves, Apodiformes, Trochilidae. The record is from RefSeq and is a predicted model, not a curated record.
UCCCUCCUUCUCCCCGCCGCCCGGCGCUGGUGUCUGGCGCGGGCCUCGCCUACCCCAUGGCGUCCUCCGGGACGGGAGGAAGGCGGCGGAGAGCGUCCCAAGGGCUCGGCAAGGCCGUCAAAUGCCUUUGUCCGCUGUCCUGCCGCGCUCGGCUGCUACCGGGCGGGGCAGGAGGCAGAGCAGAGGAGGCCGUGGCGCUGCCCCCCUUUGCUGGGGAACUGGAGUGGGGCCUUGGAAGGCCUGUAGGUAUCCCACUUAGAAACUUCUUGACUGAAACAUUCUAAAGAUGUAUGAUCACACCUAAAUCAGAAACAAUGCUCAGGAUUUCUGAGGAAUUAACACCACCUUCCACCUUCUGCUAGAAGGUCUCUCCAGUGUGUUGAUGCUUCAUGAAUCUAUGGGAUAAACAUCUUGAGUUAAGAGGUCCUUGUAAAUUAAUUGAUCUCCAGGGAGGAAAAGAGCACCUGGAAGGGAUUUGUAGUGGCAGUGCAGAUCACAUCAGCUGAUGGUUUGGUGAGUGGCUGAUCCUCAGUUCAUACUCCAUCCCUGCAUGCCUUGCCUGUCAUGGAUUGGCUUGGAGGUGGAACUGAACCAAUCAAUGGCUAAAACCACAUCUUCAAGACCAUGUUUAAACAUGUCAUUUGUCAGAACUGAAGUUUCCUAAUAAAAACUGCUGUGAUUUGCUUCUAUGUCUGUGCAUUAAUUGAAAUAAAGCAUAAGAAUGAUACUGGAA